RNAcentral lists this ribosomal RNA (134 nucleotides) under Salvator merianae (Argentine black and white tegu). The record is from RNAcentral. Lineage: Eukaryota; Metazoa; Chordata; Lepidosauria; Squamata; Teiidae.
GACGGGGUCCAGGCCUCACACUAUACUUGAUUACCAGUAGGUGCAGAAAGGCCCUCCGUUAGGAAGCUAAGCCGGGCUGGGUCUGCUUAGUACGUGGAUGGGAAACUGCUUGGGACUAACAGAUGAUUCAGCUU